UACGUAGGGUGCGAGCGUUGUCCGGAAUUAUUGGGCGUAAAGAGCUUGUAGGCGGUUUGUCGCGUCUGCUGUGAAAAUCCGGGGCUCAACCCCGGACUUGCAGUGGGUACGGGCAGACUAGAGUGUGGUAGGGGAGACUGGAAUUCCUGGUGUAGCGGUGAAAUGCGCAGAUAUCAGGAGGAACACCGAUGGCGAAGGCAGCUCGCUGGGACGGUACUGACGCUGAGACGCGAAAGCGUGGGGAGCAAACAGG
RNAcentral lists this ribosomal RNA (253 nucleotides) under uncultured bacterium. RNAcentral's name for it is "partial 16S ribosomal RNA". It matches the Rfam family "Bacterial small subunit ribosomal RNA", at positions 524 to 776 of the family's 1533-position model. The record is from RNAcentral.